RNAcentral lists this ribosomal RNA (244 nucleotides) under Silene haussknechtii. Lineage: Eukaryota; Viridiplantae; Streptophyta; Magnoliopsida; Caryophyllales; Caryophyllaceae. The record is from RNAcentral.
UCGAAACCUGCCCAGCAGAGCGACCCGUGAACACGUUCAACCUCAUGGGUGUUGGGGCGUUGCUCGGUGCCUUGUGUGCCUGCUCGUCCCUCUCCCAAGCCGGGGGAGCGCUCACUUGUGGGCUGUUUCCCCGGCAAAAAAACGAACCCCGGCGCGUAAUGCGUCAAGGAAUACAAACUUAAUGUGUGUACUCUCCCAUUGCCCGGUUAGCCGGGCGUUGGAGCGGUGCCAUGUCUUAACAAUA